Molecule: transfer RNA, 68 nt
Filed under: Faunus ater
Lineage: Eukaryota; Metazoa; Mollusca; Gastropoda; Thiaridae
Description: tRNA-Val
Rfam family: tRNA
About the family: Transfer RNA (tRNA) molecules are approximately 80 nucleotides in length.
Source: RNAcentral
UGAGAUGUAGCAUAAUUUAAUGCUUUUCACUUACACUGAAAAUAUACUUAAACAUUAAGUCAUUUCAA